CAGCAGCCGCGGUAAAACGUAGGUGGCAAGCGUUGUCCGGAAUUAUUGGGCGUAAAGCGCGCGCAGGCGGAUAGGUCAGUCUGUCUUAAAAGUUCGGGGCUUAACCCCGUGAUGGGAUGGAAACUGCCAAUCUAGAGUAUCGGAGAGGAAAGUGGAAUUCCUAGUGUAGCGGUGAAAUGCGUAGAUAUUAGGAAGAACACCAGUGGCGAAGGCGACUUUCUGGACGAAAACUGACGCUGAGGCGCGAAAGCCAGGGGAGCGAACGGGAUUAGAUACCCCCGUAGUCCCUGUCUCUUAUACA
This 301-nucleotide ribosomal RNA is filed under the name uncultured bacterium. RNAcentral describes it as "partial 16S ribosomal RNA". It matches the Rfam family "Bacterial small subunit ribosomal RNA", at positions 509 to 809 of the family's 1533-position model. The record is from RNAcentral.